Molecule: ribosomal RNA, 253 nt
Filed under: uncultured bacterium
Lineage: Bacteria
Description: partial 16S ribosomal RNA
Rfam family: Bacterial small subunit ribosomal RNA
Source: RNAcentral
GACGAGGGGUCCUAGCGUUGCUCGGAAUUAUUGGGCGUAAAGCGCAUGUAGGCGGCUUUGUAAGUCAGGCGUGAAAUCCCUGGGCUCAACCCAGGACGUGCAUUUGAUACUGCAAAGCUUGAGUAUGGGAGAGGAUAGUGGAAUUCCUGGUGUAGUGGUGAAAUACGUAGAUAUCAGGAGGAAUACCGGUGGCGAAGGCGGCCACCUGGCCGGAUACUGACGCUGAGGCGCGAAAGCGUCGGGAGCAAACAGG